Molecule: ribosomal RNA, 458 nt
Filed under: uncultured bacterium
Lineage: Bacteria
Description: partial 16S ribosomal RNA
Rfam family: Bacterial small subunit ribosomal RNA
Source: RNAcentral
CCUACGGGAGGCAGCAGUGGGGAAUAUUGCACAAUGGGGGAAACCCUGAUGCAGCGACGCCGCGUGAGUGAAGAAGUAUUUCGGGACGUAAAGCUCUAUCAGCAGGGAAGAAAAACCGGCCUUAGGGCCGACAGACGGUACGUCACUAAAAAGCCCAGGCGAACUACGUGCCAGCAGCCGCGGUAAGACGUAGGGGGCAAGCGUUGUCCGGAUUUACUGGGUGUAAAGGGAGCGUAGACGGCAGAGCAAGUCUGGAGUGAAAUGCCGGGGCCCAACCCCCGAACUGCUUUGGAAACUGUGGAGCUGGAGUGCAGGAGAGGUAAGCGGAAUUCCUAGUGUAGCGGUGAAAUGCGUAGAUAUUAGGAGGAACACCAGUGGCGAAGGCGGCUUACUGGACUGUAACUGACGUUGAGGCUCGAAAGCGUGGGGAGCAAACAGGAUUAGAUACCCGAGUAGUC